RNAcentral lists this ribosomal RNA (460 nucleotides) under uncultured bacterium. Its description in RNAcentral is "partial 16S ribosomal RNA". It matches the Rfam family "Bacterial small subunit ribosomal RNA", at positions 338 to 795 of the family's 1533-position model. The record is from RNAcentral.
CCUACGGGAGGCAGCAGUGAGGAAUAUUGGUCAAUGGGAGAGAUCCUGAACCAGCCAAGCCGCGUGAGGGAAGACGGCCCUAUGGGUUGUAAACCUCUUUUGUCGGAGAACAAAACCCGGGACGUGUCCCGGACUGCGUGUAUCCGAAGAAAAAGCAUCGGCUAACUCCGUGCCAGCAGCCGCGGUAAUACGGAGGAUGCGAGUGUUAUCCGGAAUGACUGGGCGUAAGGGGUGCGUAGGUGGUUUGACAAGUUAGUAGCGCAACUCCGGAGCUCAACUUCGGAACUACUACUAAAACUGUUGGACUUGAGUGCAGGAGGGGCAAUCGGAAUUCCUAGUGUAGCGGUGGAAUGCGUAGAUAUUAGGAGGAACACCAGUGGCGAAGGCGGAUUGCUAGACUGUAACUGACACUGAGGCACGAAAGCGUGGGGAGCAAACAGGAUUAGAUACCCCAGUAGUC